UCAAAAAAACAGCCUAAUCUUCAUUAUUUGAAGAACGGAGGAACCAAAUUUUGGGGGUUAACUUACAAUUUUGUAAGAGGGAACCUUUCUCCCUAGCCCGUCAGCUAACUCCGUCGGCUUGGAAGGAGAGAGUUU
RNAcentral lists this small RNA (135 nucleotides) under Seinonella peptonophila. Its description in RNAcentral is "c-di-AMP sequence". It matches the Rfam family "c-di-AMP riboswitch aptamer (ydaO/yuaA leader)". Rfam says of the family: This family represents a conserved RNA structure found upstream of the ydaO and yuaA genes in Bacillus subtilis and related genes in other bacteria. The ydaO/yuaA element is thought to act as a genetic "off" switch for the ydaO and yuaA genes in its native state. It is believed that the element may be triggered during osmotic shock leading to activation of ydaO, a predicted amino acid transporter gene, and members of the yuaA-yubG operon which code for KtrA and KtrB K+ transporters. Lineage: Bacteria; Bacillati; Bacillota; Bacilli; Caryophanales; Thermoactinomycetaceae. The record is from Rfam by way of RNAcentral.